CCCUCACACACAUUCUCAUGCACACCAAUAACAUUUCGUGCAACUCAUCACCAGUGGGGCAAACAUGAUGAAAUUCGUGCCAUAUGGUAGCCACCGUUAUGCAUGGCGACCGAGUUUCAGCUCUAUAGAAAAAUCAGUCGAAGUGGUCUCCCCCUUUUGCCGUGAAAUUGAAACUCAAGCCUCCGUGGUAGGUAAGAGAAAUACAAGACUAAGCGACAAGAAUUACAUAGAGGCGAGGGGAAUACUUUUACUUUUUCCUGCCGGCCAAUCAGCGCCCAGCCUGCGAUAAACCAAAGAAGAGCGAAGUCGCGGGAGAGCCAAUGGGAAAGCGACUUUUAUUUCACACGUCCGAUUGUGGUUCUGAGGGAAUAAGGUGCGGUUCACAUACCUCGGAAGGUAAAAGGGUUAUAUCCUUUUGAUAUUCUUCCGUGAGACUCGAUAAAAGAAUGAGAGAGAAGAAAAAAAUAUUGCAUAUUUAAUCUCUGGAAUUCGGUACACGAUCGCAACCAGUGGCGACGCGAAGCCAGCGGCGCACGGAUCCGAACGUGUGUACACUUGCUAAACUGGGUCGUGUGUUCGUGUGUUUGUGUGUAUGUGUGCGUCGUGACGUCGCGAGAAACAGCUGAUCGCAGCUCCCACAACAGAGAGCGAGAGGAUCGAGAGAGGGAGCGCCUCGUCUGCAGAGAAUCGAGCUUUUUUCACCCCGAAAUCGCACCCGUUCCGCAGUUGAAAUGGUGCUUGCAGGCGUUCGAAGGGCACCUCUGUCCUCCGGGAGAGAUGGCAGCCCGACAUUCCUUUUGAGAAAGUUUUAUCUUUUGACAGACAGGCAUAGACAGAGAUGAUGAUGACUCCGAGGGAUAAGAUUAUGAAUAGGGAUGAUCGGGGAUGGUUAUCCUUAAGUUAAAAGCGAAAGAGGGAGAGAAAGAGAGAGAGAGAGAGAUAACAGAGGCAGACAGAGAACAGGAUGGGAUAUCGCGGGCCGGUAUGUGGAAGAGAGGAAAAGAGGUAAUAAAACAGGGAGGAGCGAAUAAAGAGGAGAAGGAAUCCGAAAGGACUCUAGGACUUGGGAGGAAAUAGGCCAAGGACGCGAGCUGGAGGGCCCCUUUGGAAGAAUCCUUAUCUUGUCUCUUAUCUCUCUUGUUUCUUCAUCGCCGUCGUAAUCAUUCCCUGUGACUUCCUUGUGAGUAUGUGUCAGAACGGUGUGAAAUAAAAAUUAUACAUAUCCUUUUUCAUUAUUAAUGUUGUAAACUUCGCAAAAUACAAACUGGUCUGUAAUCCGUGUUAAAGAAUGUGUUUAGAGAAAUACAGAAAAAAAGAUAGUGAAAAGUGCAUCAUGGGGAACUGUGUUUAUAUCCCGUGUUAAAACUUGUGCUGCAUGUAGUGUCUUGUUUUGCCAAUGAUGUGUGUUUCCUGGUUGGAUCCGAACUUUCAAAUAACCUGUGUAAUUUAGUGUGUUGGAAUGAAAGGAACGUGAGGGAGGCGGGGGCGUUCGGGUGUGUGUGUGGAUACCGUGCAGGGAAGUCUCGAACUUUCCCCAAUACAACGUAUAAACACACAACGAUAACGCCUGUGGCCAUACCUUCAAGAAUGGGGAGCCAAAUUUUCUAAAUCUAUUUCUUGGAGGAAAAAAUAAAAUGAUUUGGAAAAUUGGAGAAGUCAGGGGGGAGGGGGAGGAGGGAGAAUGCUGGUUUUGUACGUAAGAUUGGGAUGUGUCCAAACAUAGUUAAUUUGUUUAUUUUAUUAUUAUUGUGGGGACUUUUAGUAUGCGCGCGCGCGCGCGCGCGCGUGUGUGUGUCAGCUGUAUUUUGUCUAUGUGAGACCUAGUGACGAUUUCUUUAUUCCCAUAAAAUUGACAUAAUAACAGGAAUGAUAAUGUUGGUAGCACUAGUCAUUUCUUAUUAUCAUUUAUACCUUUUUAUAUAAUCUUGUGUAGACAAUAUCUGAUAGGAAGUAACCACCUUUGGAGGGUUUUUCCCUGUCAGUUAAUAUUUGCUUAGAACAAGAAUAAAACAUUGAUUAGCUUAA
This is a long non-coding RNA of Penaeus vannamei (Pacific white shrimp), 2025 nucleotides long. RefSeq lists it as uncharacterized. The record is from RefSeq and is a predicted model, not a curated record. NCBI's taxonomy places the organism in Eukaryota, Metazoa, Arthropoda, Malacostraca, Decapoda, Penaeidae.